RNAcentral lists this ribosomal RNA (497 nucleotides) under uncultured bacterium. RNAcentral describes it as "partial 16S ribosomal RNA". It matches the Rfam family "Bacterial small subunit ribosomal RNA", at positions 28 to 507 of the family's 1533-position model. The record is from RNAcentral.
GAUGAACGCUGGCGGCGUGCCUAAUACAUGCAAGUCGAGCGAACAGACGAGGAGCUUGCUCCUCUGACGUUAGCGGCGGACGGGUGAGUAACACGUGGAUAACCUGCCUAUAAGACUGGGAUAACUUCGGGAAACCGGAGCUAAUACCGGAUAAUAUAUUGAACCGCAUGGUUCAAUAGUGAAAGACGGUUUUGCUGUCACUUAUAGAUGGAUCCGCGCCGCAUUAGCUAGUUGGUAAGGUAACGGCUUACCAAGGCGACGAUGCGUAGCCGACCUGAGAGGGUGAUCGGCCACACUGGAACUAAGACACGGUCCAGACUCCUACGGGAGGCAGCAGUAGGGAAUCUUCCGCAAUGGGCGAAAGCCUGACGGAGCAACGCCGCGUGAGUGAUGAAGGUCUUCGGAUCGUAAAACUCUGUUAUUAGGGAAGAACAAAUGUGUAAGUAACUAUGCACGUCUUGACGGUACCUAAUCAGAAAGCCACGGCUAACUACGUG